CUCGGCCCAGCGCCAGGGUCCGACCUCCGCUCCCUCCCGGAAUUCCUUAUGGUUGCCGGGGUGACGCCUCUUUUUCUUCUCGCCGCUUUCUGUGGAGAGGGGCUCAGGCUGGCCCGCUGGGGCUGCAGCUCGCCGCUUCCUGGGGUGUGCUGGUCGCUUCUCUCGUUGCUGAGACAGAAUGCCCGGCACCAGAGCUGGGCCGAGUUUACUGGGCUCACAGUCGGAGGUUGCGGCCGGGUCCGGCGGGCGCGGAAGCAGCAAGGGGCCUAACGGCGCUCUCUGCCCUGGUGGUCAGGGCGGCGCCGGGCCAGUCGCUCGGACUCUGCUUUUCAUCAUGGCUACAGCAAGUGGUGAGACAAACUGGACGUCUCCGCCGUGUGAGAGGUCAGAGCAAGGGUCAAAGUCAGAAACCCAUCUGCAAACCUCCGGGGUCUCCUGAAGUCGGCCUGAGUGCCUUGCCUUGUUUGUGUCUGUACUGGAAAAGGGCCCUGGAGCCGGAACCCCUCCUUGGGACUCUCCAAGAGGCCGAGCACUGUGAGUUGAAGGAGUGGGAAACUCCACCCCGCCUGUGUCCUUCCUGGAUCAGAGCUGACUGGGGGGCUGAAGCUGAGGUUUCUGAGGCACUUGGGGAGGGUGGCCUGGUUUCCUAGGCUAAGGAGACUCCCGGUGUGGCUGCUUCUGUAAACACAUGGGGGCUGAGAAGGGGCCUCAGUGACUUCAGUCUCCUCUCUGGGCUUCUUCAAGUGCCACACCUGGGCCUUCGCAGAAAGCAGUUGCUGAUAAAGAGCCAUGAGAGCCUGAGCACAAGGAAUUUCACGCCAGUGUCCCUGCCUUUUGCAGAAUAGAUCUAGCUGAAGAACAGUGCUGUGAUUUAGAUGAAUUCUGUACCCAUCUGUCACCAUUUCUGAGUUCAUACCGCACCAAACAGUUCUGCAAUAGGAGAUGAGCGUUUUUUUCUCUCAGAUAGUCAGGGUCCAUUUAUUUCCACUUUGAAGGGUGGAGCCUCAUGAUGAGGUUGCUGGGAUCGCAGGGUGUUUCCUGUGGGGCUUCUGGGGCCUCUGGGCUGGCUCACCAAGAAAUGCUACCACAUGUGGGUCCCAGGGAAAUUCCUUCCAGGUUCUUGGUGUCUUGGACAAGACACAGGGAAAACGUAGUGGAGAUGUACAUUUAUUGAAGGUGGGAAAGAAGUUCACUCUGCAGAGUGAAACCGAGCUAGUGAACAGACUCACAGUGGCCAAAAAAGUAAAAUUCCGAGACAGUCUCACUAAAUUCCCCAGCUGACCUCAAACUUGCAAUCCUCCUGCUUCAGCCUUCCCAGUAGCUAGGAUUACGGUAUGUGUCACAGUUCCUGACUUCAUUUGACUCUUUUUUUAUGGCUUCCAUUUCUCUACUACG
RNAcentral lists this long non-coding RNA (1395 nucleotides) under Heterocephalus glaber (naked mole-rat). RNAcentral's name for it is "lncRNA (ENSHGLG00000037880.1)". The record is from RNAcentral. Lineage: Eukaryota; Metazoa; Chordata; Mammalia; Rodentia; Bathyergidae.